This 468-nucleotide ribosomal RNA is filed under the name uncultured bacterium. Its description in RNAcentral is "partial 16S ribosomal RNA". It matches the Rfam family "Bacterial small subunit ribosomal RNA", at positions 28 to 507 of the family's 1533-position model. The record is from RNAcentral.
GACGAACGCUGGCGGCGUGCUUAACACAUGCAAGUCGAACGGAAAGGCCCUGCUUUUGUGGGGUGCUCGAGUGGCGAACGGGUGAGUAACACGUGAGUAACCUGCCCUUGACUUUGGGAUAACUUCAGGAAACUGGGGCUAAUACCGGAUAGGAGCUCCUGCUGCAUGGUGGGGGUUGGAAAGUUUCGGCGGUUGGGGAUGGACUCGCGGCUUACCAGCUUGUUGGUGGGGUAGUGGCUUACCAAGGCUUUGACGGGUAGCCGGCCUGAGAGGGUGACCGGCCACAUUGGGACUGAGAUACGGCCCAGACGCCUACGGGAGGCAGCAGUGGGGAAUAUUGCACAAUGGGCGGAAGCCUGAGGCAGCAACGCCGCGGGCGGGAUGACGGCCUUCGGGUUGUAAACCGCUUUCGCCUGUGACGAAGCGUGAGUGACGGUAAUGGGUAAAGAAGCACCGGCUAACUACGUG